RNAcentral lists this ribosomal RNA (915 nucleotides) under Salmonella enterica. RNAcentral's name for it is "partial 23S ribosomal RNA". It matches the Rfam family "Bacterial large subunit ribosomal RNA", at positions 583 to 1503 of the family's 2925-position model. RNAcentral also lists the same sequence under 1 other name. The record is from RNAcentral. Lineage: Bacteria; Pseudomonadati; Pseudomonadota; Gammaproteobacteria; Enterobacterales; Enterobacteriaceae.
CUUUGGGGUGUGACUGCGUACCUUUUGUAUAAUGGGUCAGCGACUUAUAUUCUGUAGCAAGGUUAACCGUAUAGGGGAGCCGGAGGGAAACCGAGUCUUAACCGGGCGUUAAGUUGCAGGGUAUAGACCCGAAACCCGGUGAUCUAGCCAUGGGCAGGUUGAAGGUUGGGUAACACUAACUGGAGGACCGAACCGACUAAUGUUGAAAAAUUAGCGGAUGACCUGUGGCUGGGGGUGAAAGGCCAAUCAAACCGGGAGAUAGCUGGUUCUCCCCGAAAGCUAUUUAGGUAGCGCCUCGUGAAUUCAUCUCCGGGGGUAGAGCACUGUUUCGGCUAGGGGGCCAUCCCGGCUUACCAACCCGAUGCAAACUGCGAAUACCGGAGAAUGUUAUCACGGGAGACACACGGCGGGUGCUAACGUCCGUCGUGAAGAGGGAAACAACCCAGACCGCCAGCUAAGGUCCCAAAGUCAUGGUUAAGUGGGAAACGAUGUGGGAAGGCCCAGACAGCCAGGAUGUUGGCUUAGAAGCAGCCAUCAUUUAAAGAAAGCGUAAUAGCUCACUGGUCGAGUCGGCCUGCGCGGAAGAUGUAACGGGGCUAAACCAUGCACCGAAGCUGCGGCAGCGACGCUGAUGCGUUGUUGGGUAGGGGAGCGUUCUGUAAGCCUGCGAAGGUGGCCUGUGAGGGUUGCUGGAGGUAUCAGAAGUGCGAAUGCUGACAUAAGUAACGAUAAAGCGGGUGAAAAGCCCGCUCGCCGGAAGACCAAGGGUUCCUGUCCAACGUUAAUCGGGGCAGGGUGAGUCGACCCCUAAGGCGAGGCCGAAAGGCGUAGUCGAUGGGAAACGGGUUAAUAUUCCCGUACUUGGUGUUACUGCGAAGGGGGGACGGAGAAGGCUAUGUUGGCCGGGCGACGGUU